Long non-coding RNA from Vicia villosa (hairy vetch), 669 nucleotides. RefSeq lists it as uncharacterized. The transcript has 3 exons. Lineage: Eukaryota; Viridiplantae; Streptophyta; Magnoliopsida; Fabales; Fabaceae. The record is from RefSeq and is a predicted model, not a curated record.
UCACUUUCCCUCUUAGAUAUUUUCAUUUUCCCUCUCACGUUAUUUUCACUUUCCCUCUCUAUUUUCUCAUAUACCCUCAUUUCAGAAUUUCUCUCAGAAACCCUAAUCUUCUUCUCCUCUUCCCCUAAUCCGUGAAUCUAAUAAUCAACCAAGAAUCUCUAAAAUCUGAAAUUCCCAAAACCAUGUGAUUCUCUAAAACCCGUAAACCCUUAAUCGUGAAACCCUAAUUCAUUCAUCAAAUUUGUGAAUCCCUGGUUCCAAUUGAAGAAUGUUUCGUUUAAUGACUUGUUGAUUUGAAGAUUCCAAUCGUUUAUUUCGAUUCCCAAAAUCAGUGAAGCCCUAAUCCCUAAUUCAAAGAACUCAGAUUCGUGGAUGCAUGAUGAAGCAGCUGUUCAUUGCAAGUUGAUUGUUGUUUUGAAAAUUUAGCUCGAGAAGCGGGAUUGCAGGAGGCUUUUCCGAAUUGGUUACGCAGGUAAAGAUCUUUUUUCAUUCAUCGCCAUUGUUAUUUAUUUAUAUUAUUAAGUAUUAGGUUCUUGUAUUCUAUAUUUUUUUGAAGAAUUAGGUUCUUGUAGUUUCCUCUAUUGUAAUCGUUUUUAUGUUUUUUGUUUUCUCUCUAACCACUAUUGUAAUCGUUUUUAUGUUUUAUGUUCCUACUGUUGAUAUGAUUUG